Molecule: non-coding RNA, 2203 nt
Filed under: synthetic construct
Source: RNAcentral
CAGCAAAAAGAUUGGACUCCGAAUAAUUACACCAUUACCAAUGAGACAUGCUAUAGUUGGAGCAACACCACUAAUAACUCUAGCAAGAGUGAUAAACAGAACUAUCAGACUGAACAAAAGAGUGUGUGAACUAUUCCCCUCAAUCUCUUCAACAGAGUUUUUAUUUGACACGGGUAUCUACAGCCAGGGUCGCUGCAUUCGCCUGCCACACACCUACAAAUUUACAUCUACAGGAUUGCCUGAGAGACUGCUAAAAUUGUUUGUCUGUCACCCAUUUCCAGAUAAGACCUCCUAUGUCAAGAACAGCUUCGUGCUGACAAACCUUUUGUAUCACAGUACCAGUGAGGAUCUAAGAUCUGGAGAUUAUAAUCUAAUAUUGGACAUUCGUGAUAAAGAUGAGGAUUUUUUAUCCUGCAAGACUGUGGCCAGCUUACCAAAAAAUUCUCUAGAUAUUGACAAACUGGAAGAUAUUUUGGGGUGCCCGGUCCAGUCCUGGAUAGACACCACCUUGUGGCCAUUGUUUUGUGAGCAGUUAGUCAAAUAUCUGCCACAGAAAAAUGCAAAUGAACUAAACAACAUUUCAUUUAACGUUGUGUCUAACAACAUGCUACAACUGAAACCUCGCAGAGGUCCAGGCUUCUCCUGUCUGACUCAUCAACACAGAACAAAAUCACAUAAUGUGAGGCUUUUCAUAACCCUGGGAAAGUUCUCACGUGACGUCAUAACUGCAACACUUAUGAGUCAAUGCUUUGCCAAUAAGUGCAACAACAAUAAGCCUGUGACACAUUGCACCGUGCAUGCUCGAGUGUAGAGGACUCUCCGAUCCUGGGCACCAUACAGUACCCACAGCUCGCAGAAUGGCACAGCAGAUGUUGGAGGCGGGCGCGCUGGACCAAAUGAUGGAAGGUAUGUCUUUACAAAAUAAGGAAUCCUACUUAACACUUUUGUAAAAUUUGGAGUUUAAAUUUGGUCUUAAAAUCUCUUGUUUCCCCCCAGGACUACCAUCUGAUUUUGACUUUGAUACAUCUGAUGAAGAAGGUGAGCUCUCAGAUUCUCCACCAGUUGAGGAGCCAACGGGGCCAGUCCGGGAUGUGGUGUACGAACCUGACCCACUCUUCGACGACCCACCACCAACACCCUCGCCAGACGUCAAGCCACCUUCUCCAAAGGCUAGAAAGCGCGCCCUGUCUCCUGAAAUUGUCCACAACUCUCCUCUGCUUAGAGAUACAACAAAGUAUGAGCCUGCACCCAAAAGAAGCUAUUCUUACCACCCCAGACGCAGUCCACAGAGAGAAAAUGCUAACCAGAAGCAGAAAAGGGGACCAGACUCACGAAGACCAAACAGAUGGAACCAGAAAAGCCAGAAACAAUAUUGGUCCCCCAAACCUCUUCUGGAUUACAGCAAAAUUCCAAGAGCAGAGUACAAAAAUGCCAAACUGUUGGUGCCUACAACUGGUAAACUGCGCCCAGAGUUCUAUACUGAUCGGUUUGUGGAUGCUAUAAUUCAGAACGCUGCCAGAAAUUGUCCAGUGUCUGAAAAGGCGGUAUCACUAAAAAAUAUUGAAGAGUCUUUCAAACUGCUUAACUCUUUCUUUAACAGUGGAAUAAAUAAGGAUCAUUGGCUAUCUACAAGGUAUUUUGCAAUCUUCAACAACGGCCUGGUGGUGCUGACCCACAUGCUAGACGAACAGUUGGCCUGGGCAUAUGCUUGCCUGAAACACGGUAGGGAGUUGCCCACUGACGACAUACUCAUGUCUACUUCAGAAAAAUUGUCCCAACAGCUUGUGAUAAAACUCAUAGAGGUGAUAAAAUGUAUAGAAAAGGAUGGAAUAUUCAGCAGGAUCCUCAAAGGUGUGGCAGAUGCGGUAUGCCUUAAGGCCCAGUUCUUACGUGGUAUGAUCACCCUGAAGAGAACCCCUUGCAGCCUUCCCAUGUAUACCCUGUUUGUUUAUGUACUGACUAUUCCCACUCUGAGAACACGUGUAAUCAGGGACCCUCUGCUGACACAGUGUAAGGAUGUGGUCCUAAAGUAUCAGCCAGGCGACUGUAUAACCCUAUUGAAAGCUGCACUAAAUUGUCAUCAGUGUAACAAAGACUGUGAUAAAUGUAAAUAUAUUUUGGAUCCCCUGUUGGGACAAACACACCGCACCAAGGGGGUAUUUUUUGUGUGUGAAUAAUCAAUAAUAAACACAAUUGAACUGCA